UCCCUGGAGGUCCAGUGGUUAAGACUUCACGCCUCCACUGCAGGAGGUGUGGGUUUGAUCCCUGGUGGGGAAACUAAGAUCCCACAUGCCGCGCGGCCAAAAAAAAAAAAGGACAGUAUCUCAGCCUUCUAGGCUGAAUCUCUUUGAGUACUAAGGAGGAUGAACAUAAAAUGAGCUCAUUUUCCUUUCAGAAGCCCCUGAAUGUGACAGUGAUCCGCAGAGGGGAGAAAUACCAGCUUAGACUCGUGCCAACACGCUGGGCGGGAAAAGGACUGCUGGGAUGCAACAUUAUUCCUUUGCAAAGAUGAUCGUCCCCGGGGAACAGAAACAGGAAAGCAUAUUGCCUUGCCCCAGACUUGGGUCUAGUGGGCAUUUCCUCCUUCUCUUCUCUUCCUGAAGCUCAAGGAUCUGGAAGAGGCUGGGAGCCUGAACUUCCAGGUGGCGGAAACGCUGUGGCCUCGAAGUGUGAUCUCUCGGGGAUUAACGCAUGGUUAAAAACUUGCUUUGUGUUUAGCAUCUUGCAAAUUAGGCCACGGCCCUAAAUGGGAGUCCUCUGGAUUGGGAGCAGGGGGGCGGGAGUUAUUCUGGCAGGUGCUGAUGUGACUUUGUUCUUCUAGAAAUUUUGUUUUUUUCCCCCAAAUAAACAGUUUUACAGUGUUGA
Molecule: long non-coding RNA, 661 nt
Organism: Physeter macrocephalus (sperm whale)
Lineage: Eukaryota; Metazoa; Chordata; Mammalia; Artiodactyla; Physeteridae
Exons: 2
Source: RefSeq, a predicted model, not a curated record